This 289-nucleotide ribosomal RNA is filed under the name uncultured bacterium. RNAcentral's name for it is "partial 16S ribosomal RNA". It matches the Rfam family "Bacterial small subunit ribosomal RNA", at positions 29 to 304 of the family's 1533-position model. The record is from RNAcentral.
AACGAACGCUGGCGGCGCGCCUAAAUACAUGCAAAGUCGAGCGAGAAGACGUAGCAAUACGUUUGUAAAAGCGGCGAAACGGGUGAGGAAUACAUGGGUAACCUACCCUCGAGUGGGGAAUAACUAGCCGAAAGGUUAGCUAAUACCGCGUACGCUCCUUGGACUUCGGUUCAGGGAGGAAAGCGAUACCGUGGGUAUCGCGCUCUUGGAUGGGCUCAUGUCCUAUCAGCUUGUUGGUGAGGAACGGCUCCACCAAGGCUUCGACGGGUAGCUGGUCUGAGAGGACAAU